GGGACCUAAGGCGAGGCCGAGAGGCGUAGUCGAUGGACAACAGGUAGAGAUUCCUGUACUUACGGUAUGAAUGAUGGAGUGACGGAGAAGGCUAGCGGAUCCUGCUGAUGGAAAUGCAGGUGCAAGCGAGGUAGCCGACAGCCAGGCAAAUCCGGCUGUCGAAAGGCAAAGGCGUGAGGCGUAUGGAAAGCUGCGGCAAGUACAGAAGUCCGUGAAGCCAGCUUCCAAGAAAAGCUUCUAGUGAUAAUCAUACAGUAACCCGUACCGAAAAUGGACACACAUGGGUGAGGAGAGAAUCCUAAGGUGAGCGAGAGAACUAUAGCUAAGGAACUCUGCAAAAUGACUCCGUAACUUAGGGAUAAGGAGUGCUCAUAGAGAUAUGAGCCGCAGUGAAACGGCCCAAGCGACUGUUUACCAAAAACACAGCUCUAUGCUAAGUCGAAAGACGACGUAUAUGGGGUGACGCCUGCCCGGUGCUGGAAGGUUAAGAGGAUGUGUCAGCGCAAGCGAAGCAUUGAAUUGAAGCCCCAGUAAACGGCGGCCGUAACUAUAACGGUCCUAAGGUAGCGAAAUUCCUUGUCAGGUAAGUUCUGACCCGCACGAAAGGCGUAACGAUUUGGGCGCUGUCUCAGCUGUAGACUCGGUGAAGUCUUAGUACCUGUGAAGAUGCAGGUUACCCGCGACUAGACGGAAAGACCCCAUGGAGCUUUACUGUAGCCUGAUAUUGGACUUUGAUGCAGGAUGUACAGGAUAGGUAGGAGACUGAGAGACAUGCACGCCAGUGUGUGAGGAGUCGAUGUUGGGAUACUACUCUUCCUGUAUUGGAGUUCUAACCGGAUGCCAUAAGCUGGUAACGGGACAGUGUCAGGUGGGCAGUUUGACUGGGGCGGUCGCCUCCCAAAGAGUAACGGAGGCGCCCAAAGAUACCCUCAGCUUGGAUGGAAAUCAAGCGUAGAGUGCAAAGGCAAAAGGGUGUUUGACUGCGAGACCAACAAGUCGAGCAGGGACGAAAGUCGGGCUUAGUGAUCCGGCGGUGCUGAAUGGAAAGGCCGUCGCUCAACGGAUAAAAGCUACCCUGGGGAUAACAGGCUGAUCUCCCCCAAGAGUUCACAUCGACGGGGAGGUUUGGCACCUCGAUGUCGGCUCAUCGCAUCCUGGAGCUGAAGUCGGUUCCAAGGGUUGGGCUGUUCGCCCAUUAAAGCGGUACGCGAGCUGGGUUCAGAACGUCGUGAGACAGUUCGGUCCCUAUCUGUCGUGGGCGUAGGAAGUUUGAGAAGAUCUGUCCUCAGUACGAGAGGACCGGGAUGGACAUAUCAAUGGUGCACCAGUUGUCACGCCAGUGGCACAGCUGGGUAGCUAAAUAUGGAAGGGAUAAACGCUGAAGGCAUCUAAGUGUGAAACCCACUUCAAGAUGAGACUUCCCAUUACGAAAGUAGGUAAGACCCCUUAAAGACGAUAAGGUUGAUAGGUCAGGAGUGUAAGCAUGGUGACAUGUUCAGCGGACUGAUACUAAUAGGUCGAGGACUUAACCU
Molecule: ribosomal RNA, 1532 nt
Filed under: human gut metagenome
Description: bacterial LSU rRNA
Rfam family: Bacterial large subunit ribosomal RNA
Source: RNAcentral